Molecule: ribosomal RNA, 253 nt
Filed under: uncultured bacterium
Lineage: Bacteria
Description: partial 16S ribosomal RNA
Rfam family: Bacterial small subunit ribosomal RNA
Source: RNAcentral
UACGUAGGGGGCAAGCGUUGUCCGGAAUCAUUGGGCGUAAAGCGCGUGUAGGCGGCUUGGUAAGUCUGCUCUGAAAGCCCGGGGCUCAACCCCGGGAGGCGGGUGGAUACUGUCAAGCUCGAGUCCGGAAGAGGAGUGUGGAAUUCCUGGUGUAGCGGUGAAAUGCGUAGAGAUCAUGAGGAAGACCAGUGGCGAAGGCGGGUCUCUGGACAGUUCCUGACACUGAGGCACGAAGGCCAGGGGAGCAAACGGG